AUUCCAUGAUGGGGACAGUCUAGGAUGUAGUCUUGGAAGCGCUCCCAUGCCUCUGGAACGGAUUCAUCAUGUUGUUGCUGAAAACUUGUAAUCUUCCCACGGAGAGC
Molecule: small nucleolar RNA, 107 nt
Organism: Sorghum bicolor (sorghum)
Lineage: Eukaryota; Viridiplantae; Streptophyta; Magnoliopsida; Poales; Poaceae
Rfam family: Plant small nucleolar RNA R71
About the family: R71 is a member of the C/D box family of snoRNAs containing the C (UGAUGA) and D (CUGA) box motifs. Multiple nearly identical copies of this snoRNA have been identified in Arabidopsis, and it is thought to function as a 2'-O-ribose methylation guide for 18S ribosomal RNA.
Source: Rfam